GCGGAGGAAAAGAAACCAACAGGGAUUGCCCUAGUAACGGCGAGUGAAGCGGCAACAGCUCAAAUUUGAAAUCUGGCGUCUUCGGCGUCCGAGUUGUAAUUUGCAGAGGGCGCUUUGGCAUUGGCAGCGGUCCAAGUUCCUUGGAACAGGACGUCACAGAGGGUGAGAAUCCCGUACGUGGUCGCUAGCCUUUACCGUGUAAAGCCCCUUCGACGAGUCGAGUUGUUUGGGAAUGCAGCUCUAAAUGGGAGGUAAAUUUCUUCUAAAGCUAAAUACUGGCCAGAGACCGAUAGCGCACAAGUAGAGUGAUCGAAAGAUGAAAAGCACUUUGGAAAGAGAGUUAAAAAGCACGUGAAAUUGUUGAAAGGGAAGCGCUUGCAGCCAGACUUGCCUGUAGUUGCUCAUCCGGGUUUCUACCCGGUGCACUCUUCUAUAGGCAGGCCAGCAUCAGUUUGGGCGGUUGGAUAAAGGUCUCUGUCAUGUACCUCUCUUCGGGGAGAACUUAUAGGGGAGACGACAUGCAACCAGCCCGGACUGAGGUCCGCGCAUCUGCUAGGAUGCUGGCGUAAUGGCUGUAAGCGGCCCGUCUUGAAACACGGACCAAGGAGUCUAACAUCUAUGCGAGUGUUUGGGUGUCAAGCCCGAGCGCGUAAUGAAAGUGAACGGAGGUGGGAACCUUUCGGGGUGCACCAUCGACCGAUCCUGAUGUCUUCGGAUGGAUUUGAGUAAGAGCAUAGCUGUUGGGACCCGAAAGAUGGUGAACUAUGCUUGAAUAGGGUGAAGCCAGAGGAAACUCUGGUGGAGGCUCGCAGCGGUUCUGACGUGCAAAUCGAUCGUCAAAUUUGGGCAUAGGGGCGAAAGACUAAUCGAACUAUCUAGUAGCUGGUUCUGC
Molecule: small RNA, 892 nt
Filed under: Nothophoma macrospora
Lineage: Eukaryota; Fungi; Ascomycota; Dothideomycetes; Pleosporales; Didymellaceae
Description: eukaryotic LSU rRNA
Rfam family: Eukaryotic large subunit ribosomal RNA
Source: RNAcentral